This 30-nucleotide small RNA is filed under the name Bombyx mori (domestic silkworm). Its description in RNAcentral is "ovarian small RNA-24723". The record is from RNAcentral. Lineage: Eukaryota; Metazoa; Arthropoda; Insecta; Lepidoptera; Bombycidae.
UCAAGCACAUUCACGGGACGUUACCCUUUG